RNAcentral lists this long non-coding RNA (646 nucleotides) under Zea mays. Its description in RNAcentral is "long non-coding RNA (ZMAY_LNC004526)". The record is from RNAcentral. Lineage: Eukaryota; Viridiplantae; Streptophyta; Magnoliopsida; Poales; Poaceae.
AAUGUUUCAAGAGAUAUAUGAACCUUGCACUUUGUAGCUAUAAAUAUAUGUUGAGAGAAACUCUGAACUAUUGGAGGAAAGCAAACACCAUGUUUCGAUUUUCACAUGUAGAAUUGAGGGCAUCUCAAGUAACGUGGUAAGGAAUAUCACAAUAUUAGAACAAAACAACUAUAUUUGUUUCUCCAUCGCCUACAAAAAAACUCAAACUCUAUGAUUUAUACCUUUUCACUAACCUACUGCUUGAUUUAUACUUUUCUAGGGUAUGAAGAAGGCGCUACAGCUGCCGGAUUACCUAAAGCCGACGGAGCUGAAGAUGAUGCUCAAUACGAUCAAGGUCUUCCUGCCGAUUGUCUUUGUAAGGGAGGCAUGACACCUGGAUGUAUCAUUUGGGAGCAAACUUUAAACGUCUACCUCUUUUAACUAAGAUGUAUCAUUUUCUUCCAAAGACACGAAAGUAUGACACAUUGGGUUUGUUACCGGUUAGAAGCUCGUAAGACGUCUUCUUGACACUACUACAAAUCGUGUUAUAUGAGAUGGUUAAUUUUUAGUUAUUAAGAUGCUUAUGAAGUGUCCAAAUUUGAUGGAGUCGCAAAAUAUGUUACGUUUUUAAGAUGGUUAUAAACCGUCUUAAAAGAUAUUAAAUAAG